UUGGUUUUGGUAGAGCCUGAUCUACUUUUCAGACAUCUUCACAGAUUUAAAAGCAUUUUAUAACUUUGCAUGUUGUGCAAUGUUGUAGUACUUAGGAGUUUGUCUAAAUCCAAGAUCGUAUUUUCGGUCUUGCUCUUGCCCUGGACUCAGAAGCAUCUGGAUUUGGUUUUGACCCAGACUCAAGACCUAUUCCGGUUCCGAGUACUAAAAUUCUAUACACAGUGUUGUACUACUUAAGACCGGAAUUGGUCUGGAGGUUUGCGUCACACUGACAUCAAAAGGGAAAGCAUGUUUAUAUUUAUGUUAAAUAUAAUUUGUUUAAUUCUGAUUUAAUGUGUUUGUUUCAUUUACCUCCUCACUCAGUUUGGUGAUGCUCUGCUUGGUCUCCAGCUGCUCCUGGUUCACUGCACACAGAUGCACACAAAACGAGACUGUUCCCUGGCCGUCUGAUGCAUAUUGCACACAAAACUUGUAAGAGCUGCAAUCUGUUUGAACAGCUUUAAAGUCACUGUGCAUCGGAAUUAAAGUUGCAUUAGUAAAGAUCCUAGGCUGCUAUGAUGAAUCACUGAGAGGAAAAAUUAAUAAAUGGAUUUGCUAAGGUUUAUAAAGUU
Molecule: long non-coding RNA, 611 nt
Organism: Cyprinus carpio (common carp)
Lineage: Eukaryota; Metazoa; Chordata; Actinopteri; Cypriniformes; Cyprinidae
Exons: 2
Source: RefSeq, a predicted model, not a curated record